This is a non-coding RNA of Epinephelus lanceolatus (giant grouper), 640 nucleotides long. The record is from RefSeq and is a predicted model, not a curated record. Lineage: Eukaryota; Metazoa; Chordata; Actinopteri; Perciformes; Serranidae.
GGAGAAUUCCCAAACGUUCCAAAUGGUGAUGUUGUGCAAAAGGGUCGAAUGUUUUUGAAAUACCAAUGUAAAGCCUUUCACACACUCGUCGGUGAAGCCACCGUGGCAUGUUACAGUGAUAGGACUUGGUCACCACUACCCGUCUGCAAAGAGACAUUUUGUGUCCUCGAUCCUGCUCAAAAUCCUCUGCCCAAUGUUCAACUAUCAAGAGUUGAAUAUCUAAAGGAAGGAGAGCGGAAGCAUUUUCCGUGUAUUUGGUAUGAUUACAGCAGACGUGUUCAGUGCACUAAUGGAAGAAUAACUACUACAGGAUGUUGUUCUACUUAUGACCAUGGACGGGGAAUUUGCCCGUAAAGCACAGCAGAGGAAUCACUGCUGGACUGACAACUAAAGCCAAGUUGGAAAUUUUCUCCGUCCUCCAGAUUCCUCCACCAGAGAACAACUACACCCAUUUUUUUGUCCUUUUUGUUUCAAUUUGAUUGAAAAUUCAUACACACAAUUUUGGAGCUGAUUGUUCUCUGACAGUCAGCUUGUGUCUUUAUGACUGGAACUCCUUAUAGCAUUAUCAGUUCUCUGAAUAAAAAUAAAGUUCAUAUGACCUACAGUCAUCUGAAUGAAAUGUUCACUGUAGAAAUCUUAA